ACUCCUACGGGAGGCAGCAGUGAGGAAUAUUGGACAAUGGGCGCAAGCCUGAUCCAGCCAUGCCGCGUGAGUGAUGAAGGCCCUAGGGUUGUAAAGCUCUUUCAGUGGUGAAGAUAAUGACGGUAACCACAGAAGAAGCCCGCUGACUUCAUGUGCCAGCAGCCGCGGUAAUACGAAGGGGCGUAGCGUUGUUCGGAAUUACUGGGCGUAAAGCGUGCGCAGGCGGUCUGUUAAGCGAGAUGUGAAAG
RNAcentral lists this ribosomal RNA (248 nucleotides) under uncultured bacterium. RNAcentral describes it as "partial 16S ribosomal RNA". It matches the Rfam family "Bacterial small subunit ribosomal RNA", at positions 335 to 600 of the family's 1533-position model. The record is from RNAcentral.